GUCAUAGUCACACAAACCACAUAACACCUCCUGGAGAGGAGCAGGGAGGAGAGGAGUAGACCACAGACCACAUACCACCUCCUAGAGAGGAGCAGGGAGGAGAGGAGUAGACCACAGACCAACAUAACACCUCCUGGAGAGGAGCAGGGAGGAGAGGAGAAGACCACAUACCACCUCCUAGAGAGGAGCAGGAAGGAGAGGAGUAGACCACAGACCACAUAACACCUCCUAGAGAGGAUCAGGGAGGAGAGGAGUAGACCACAGACCACAUAACACCUCCUAGAGAGGAGCAGGGAGGAGAGGAGAAGACCACUCCAGGAGUGAAGGAGAGGAGAAGACCACUCCAGGGGAGAAGGAGAGGAGAAGACCACUCCAGGAGUGAAGGAGAGGAGAAGACCACUCCAGGAGUGAAGGAGAGGAGAAGACCACUCCAGGAGUGAAGGAGAGGAGAAGAACACUCCAGGGGUGAAGGAGAGGAGAAGACCUCUCCAGGAGUGAAGGAGAGGAGAAGACCACUCCAGGAGUGAAGGAGAGGAGAAGAACACUCCAGGGGAGAAGGAGAGGUGAAGACCACUCCAGGACUGAAGGAGAGGAGAAGACCACUCCAGGAGUGAAGGAGAGGAGAAGACCACUCCAGGGGAGAAGGAGAGGAGAAGACCACUCCAGGAGUGAAGGAGAGGAACAGGGAGGAGAGGACAAGACCACUCCAGGGGAGCAGGAGAGGAGAAGACCACUCCAGGGGAGAAGGAGAGGAGAAGACCACUCCAGGAGUGAAGGAGAGGACCACCCCCGGUUUGAACCCAACAACGCAUCCCCAGACAUCAUAACGUAGAAAUAUCCUGUCCAAUCAGCUGUCUCAGAAUAAAAGAGUUGUAUAAUAAAACAGACGCUGUUAAAUGAAAACAUUUUAAAACCAGGAGUUUAACACACCCACCGCCAACCACAGGUUUCAGAACAACUAACCGCAGGGCGAAGGAGUGGCCUGUGAUGCGUUUCCUGUCCUAUCUGUGUUGUGAUUGGUUGAUCAGGGUGAGAGGAGUUCUGAUUGGUGGAUCAGGUGUGACGUGUGCGUUUUAAAUCAACCCCAAUAGGGACCAGCAACAGAAUUCUGAUCUGUAGUCUGAAACAUUGGGAUUAGAAACCUACAGACUACAGAACCAGUCUGCUGUUUAAAGACUUUCAGCUGAGCAUCAGGUCAUGAGGAUAGUGUUGAUCUGGAUAUGUCUACUGGGCAUGAGUCUAGCCUUUCCAGUCCACAAGAGACGGGUGACAAGAUCAGACAACGAUGAAGGAGAGGGGCAACAGAGUGACUACAGUCAUUCAAGUGAUGAAGAGGAGGAGGAGGGAGGACAGGAAAAAGAAG
Long non-coding RNA from Oncorhynchus tshawytscha (Chinook salmon), 1363 nucleotides. NCBI's taxonomy places the organism in Eukaryota, Metazoa, Chordata, Actinopteri, Salmoniformes, Salmonidae. The record is from Ensembl.